RNAcentral lists this ribosomal RNA (433 nucleotides) under uncultured bacterium. RNAcentral describes it as "partial 16S ribosomal RNA". It matches the Rfam family "Bacterial small subunit ribosomal RNA", at positions 29 to 507 of the family's 1533-position model. The record is from RNAcentral.
AACGAACGCUGGCGGCAUGCCUAACACAUGCAAGUCGAACGAAACCUUCGGGCUUAGUGGCGGACGGGUGGGUGACGCGUGGGAACCUGCCCUUGGGUUCGGAAUAACUCCCCGAAAGGGGUCCUAAUACCGGAUAAUGUCUUCCGACCAACGAUUUAUCGCCGUUGGGUGGGCCCGAGUUGGAUUAGCUAGUUGGUAGGGUAAAAGCCUACCAAGGCGACGAUGCAUAGCUGGUCUGAGAGGAUGCGCUGCCACACUGGGCCUGAGACACGGCCCAGAAUCCUACGCGAGGGAGCAGAGGGUAAUACAGCACGAUGGGCGAUAGCCUGAUCCAGCAAUGACGGGUAAGUGAUGUAGGCCUUAGGGUUGUAAAGCUCUUUUACCCGGGACGAUAAUGACGGUACCGGGAGAAUAAGCACCGGCUAACUCCGUG